This 5149-nucleotide long non-coding RNA is filed under the name Salvia miltiorrhiza (redroot sage). RNAcentral's name for it is "long non-coding RNA (SMIL_LNC005515)". The record is from RNAcentral. Lineage: Eukaryota; Viridiplantae; Streptophyta; Magnoliopsida; Lamiales; Lamiaceae.
UAAUGGCGGAAUACAGAUUUACUAUCAGCUGAAAAGAAGCGGGGGGCGAACUAUGGCGAUCUACAGCGAUUCACCGAGCUGACAAACCCUUGAACAUGUACUUGGCAGCUCAGCAAGAUUUUCCGCCAGUAAUCGGUAAAUCAACCCCCACCACUCAUACUCUAAUAUUUUAUUUUAUUUUGGUUGGUUUGAUGUUUACCAUAUUUUUUCCAUUACUUGUUUGGUGUGGUUGGCAUUUAUAUUUCACCUAUCUACGUAUCUGUUUGAUUUGGUUUCUCGUCUCAUGAAUCCAUAAAAAACAGUGGUUGGUAAAGUUUCAAUGAGGCAAAAAAUAAUUGAUGAUUCUUUGUACAGACAAAUUAUUGAACCCUUGCAAGAUGGGUAUCGAUUCUCUAGUGCAUGGUGUUAGCUCAAUUUUUUGUACAUUCAGAGAAGCUAGCUAUUCUGAUCUGCUAUGUUAAAAGUUAGUUAUUCCUCUUUGUACAAAUGCUCUUAGGGAGGUUAGUGAGCAGAAACCCUAAUCCGGAGCCCGUUGGGUGCCUCGACUCUAGGAAAUUUCAUUAGCUUAUUUCCCUCUACUUCUUCCCAUUUGUAUCUCGUCACAAAAUAAUGAAGGAAUGUAGAAAUUUCAGCCAGUCCGAGCUCUUUUCCAGGGCAUUGUCUUGUCCCCCCUCCGAAAAUCAAGAAAUGGUGUUGAUUUUUCAGGCCUUUUUCCUGCAAUUCAUUGAAGUAUCGAGCUUGUUAGCCAUUGUUUUGUGAGAACAAACUAGAAAAGGUUAUAUUCAUGUGUUAAUUUGGGUGAUUUACUAACCAGCCAUCUCCAUGGAUUGAAAGUUAAUGGAUCGGGAUAAAGGCACGGGUCGUAGUUGACCUCCCGAGUGUACACAUAUAUCCUCCAUCCUUUAGGAAUGACAUAACCUGAACAAGGAUAUAAGCAGAGCAAGAGAUAAGUGACUAUACAAGUAGUAUGAAAUAGUGUGUUUUGGGCCUUUUGCAGCAGAUAAUAUUAGUCUAUGCUUUAACAAGAAUUGAUAUCUAUUGUAUAAUUUUCUCUCAUAACAACCUUGUACAUCCAGCAUCAGGCUAGCUAAUUGUGGGAUUAAUGAUUGCAUUAAUUGUUUUUAGCACUUAGAAUUGACAGAGGAAUAAUUGUUAAGUUUCUGAUUGGAAGGACAAAGCAAGCAGUGAUAGUAUUGAGCUCUCUCUUCUCUUAUCCACUACACAGACAAUAUAAUUCCUUAGGACAAGAUGGGGCAUCAAUGGAAUGUCUUGGGUUGUAAUGGUAAGUUUUCCAUGUGGAUCAUGAUAGGGUAGGGUCCAUACAUAAAGGUGAUCUCUUAGUCUAUGAUUGCUUGUAUAUGCCACUGUUGCUUUUUAUGUAAAAUACUUUAAUUAUUGAUGAGAGAAAAUGUCAAAAUUGCUUAAUUAUUCCAGACUACUCCUUGAAGUAGUAUAUUCCGAACUUUUUUUUUUUUUUGUUGUGGCUGCUGAAUCAUAAAGGAAGCAGAGAGUAAUAUAAGGAAAAAUUUAAGAGAUUGUGCUCACCAUUUAUUUCCAUAUCCGUAGUUGUCUUCCUCAAAACUCCAUUUACUAUUGUAGCCAGUCUGGAUGUCUCGUAUAUGACCUGCAGUAGUUAUAUCAUACAACGUUUCUAUAUUAGCUGGAAAUAUUACUAAGUUUAACAGAAGUAACUAUUUUUAGUUGGAAGUUGGCAACACUCACCGCACGUGUGAAGCGCAUGGAUCUAUAGUCUUCGUAAUCAAUAGGAUCCUCAGGAUUUUUUCUUUCCCGUAUUGCCAUAUGUUCUUUCUGGAAAUUUAAAGGUGAAAAUGUGAGGGUUCAGUAAUGAAACAUAACUAUACUUUCACAAAUUAAGAAAUUUCCACUUAAAACAUGUGGUGCUUCAUGACUGAAAUCUCCACUCACCCUUAAUUCUUCUAGCACUUUUGGAUGAUCAUGAAGAUACUUGACAGCCAUCAUAGAAGUAGUUGACACGGUCUCGUAUCCGGAAUACAAGAUGGUGAUGAUCAAGUCGAUCAUUUCCUCAUCACUUAGCUUGUAUUUGUUCUCCUCGCUUACUAGAAGACCAAGCAUGUCCCUUUGUUUUUCUCCGGAAGCUCUUCUUUCUUCGACUAGUUUCCUUAACAAGCAUGUGAUGUUCUGUCUUGCCUGUUUGAUGAAUUCAAACUGUUAAUGUUCCUGGAUUUAGACAAGUUCUUGCAGACCACUAAAGAAGAGGUAAAUUUUUUUUACCUGAAAUCCGCGAUGGUAAUUUGUGUUGGGAAGGUUGAUGGGGAGUGAAAGAGUUCCCAGGACCAGUUUGAAGAAUUCAGGCAUGAAUGCGUCAGAUAUUGAGCUUGCUUCAACGCUUGCAAUUUGUCUAAAUGAUGAUAGAAACGCCAUCUGGAACAAUAUUGAGGUUUUGUAGUGCUUUAGAACAGAGUGUCAAGGGUAAAUCCUACUGCAUAAACCAGUGGUUAGAUCUAAAAGGUGCUAGUACAUACCUCUUUCGUUUUCUCUUGGAUAUCAACAAUCUUGUUAUCCCAAUCACUCAGAUGAGAUCUCAUGAAAUCGUCGAUUUUGGGCAAGAGUUGAUCUUUGAUCAUCGUGGGGCUGAUAAGAGCAAGCAGGGCCCCUCGCAUAUACUUGUGAGCAGAGCCGUGGACGGCUGCGAUGUUGCAUUUCCCCAAUAUAUCUAACAUAGACUGAGGAUAGCCGGGGACGAGCCCUUUCGCUUCAUUAACUAAGAUGUACCUGUUUAACUCCGGAUCCAUCGAAACUAUGGUAGGGCAACCUAGUAUGUGUGAUUUGAAAAAACUCCCAAACCUGCAGGAGCAACAAAGGUGAAAGAAGUUUUAGUAAAGCACCAUUUUGAUUUUUGUUUAAGGAAAAAUUGAAUCUGUUUAUCAGUCAUCAUGCACAUAACCAUGCAAGUUCCUAUCUUUUUAUACAGAACAUAUAGGUUCUGAAAUUUAUUGAGAUGUUCAAUAAGGUAGAAAAUAUGACAUUCUUAAUUAUGCAAGAGAAAAAUGAGAGAGACCUUGAUCUUUGGUUUUUCAUGAAGGCUGGACCUUGUUUUAGAAACUCAGUGGUCUCUCCGAACAGUGGCCACCCCAUUGUACCUGGUGGCAAUCCUUUCUUCCUGUACCUAACCUCAUUCCAUUUCAGGAGGGCAACACUCAAGAUGCAGAGACCCCAAAACACUCCUAGAAUCACAACCAAGCUGGCCAUUGAUCCUCCCUAAAAGCUCAAAACUAUUUGAGAGAUAAGGGGAGGGGAGAGAGGGAAAGCUUGAAAGGGAGAGCUGUAAAAGGUAUGGGAUUUGCUCUAGUUGUAUUGGCUGGUCAUGACUCAUGAGUUCGUGCGGGUGUUUAUAUAGACCUGAUGAAAUCAAUAUGAGAGAGAGAGAGGGUUGGGGGUAGAGUGGGGAGGCCUAAUACGCCAAAAUCAUGCACGCUAGAAAGGUAGGACCUAGUAUUAAAACCUGACGGAAAACUCAAGGCACAGUAAAGAACUCAAAUAAAUAAAUUUUGGUUGAAGUAAAUUUUUUUGUACAAACAGAAACCUGUUUUACAUUUUCUUGAUACCUCAAGAGCUUCCAUUUCACUGGCCUGUCAAAACUGUAUGUGCUGCUGCUCUGUUCAACUGGAAAUAAAAUUACUUUACGCAAUUUUUUAAUACCUGUUUUUAGUUGUCAUUCUUAAUCAUUUGGUUAUCUAUUUUAAUCUUUUGUUAAAAUGUGUCGCAUAAAGGAACUCCCUUGGGUUGAUGUUAGAAUUAUAGGCAAUUGAUGAGAGCACAUGGACGCCACCCCAUUAGAAGGAAAGCCAUGGGAUUAAGUGGUUCACAUGUCUGUCAAAUAGAUCUGCGCACCAAAUUACAAAAGUCACUUGAGGACAUGUUCUUGGUUAGAGAGAGAAAGGAAGACCCAUGAAAUAACAAAAACCAUCUAGGCAUGUUCUUUUCUCUCGCCACCCUAACUCUUGAGGUUGGAACAUAGAAAUCCUAGCCUGUUUCCUUUUAAUUAGAUUGAAACUUGGAUCUGUAGGUUAUAGUUCCUAGUAACUCCACACGUGAAGUUUGACUUUUUGGACUGUUUUCCACUUUAAACUUUUCCUAUCUUGUUAUCCAAUAAUUCCCCAUGUUCUAACCUUUCAUCACAUCUCAAAUUUCAGUAACUUUUUGGAGCCUUGUGCAAGGGAAGAAGACUAUAAAAAAUUGCAGAACAGAGACCCCCUAUGCCUGCCUAGCUAAUGGCCAUCCACUAAGCAUGAUUAAGUAAGGAUUCUUGUGUCAUAAUACGAUAAAAAAGAAAAAAGCUUAAUUUUUUUUGCUAAUCACAUCAAACCCAAUUUGAAAUGAGUCUAGAUUUGCUUUCUGUAUUCACACAUGUAUGCUAAAGGGCAUUCUAAUUCCACUUCUACCCCAUGUGAGGAAACCGACUGCUACCCUCCUGAAAAUUCCUUGAUAAUUGGUAUAAAUGUCAGAUUUUAUUAUGCUUAAUAAUAAUGGUUAUGUUGACUGUUUUGACCAAGUGAAGCCCAACGUAUCAUGUAAACAUGCUUUAUUAUUAAUUUAUUAUAUACUAAUAUGAAUAGCAGAAUAGGUCGGCAUCGAGGUAGGUGUAUACAUUUAAUUCGAAAGCCAUUGUUAAGUUCCCGAGCUACUAAUUUUUGCUGUACAGAGCUCUUACUCACUCAUUUAUAAAUGAUAAUUUAAUACGAAGGCUUUCACAUUGACACGCAAUGGCUGGUGUCGGACAUAUAUAUGGAAAUUUGAUGGUUGCUAAAACUCAAUACAUUUAAUUGGAACUAGAUACAAAAUGGUGCCGUACAGGAAGGCGUACAAGGUCGACUAGUCUCAUCAUCAGUAGGUGGGAGAUUAUUUGAGAGAGGGGUAUUUGUAAUAUAUGCUCCUAAAAACAGGGUUUGUCUUGUAAUUUUCACUUAUAUAUCAUCAUCUCUCGUUUUGUUUAUUGACUUUGGGUAUGAUGCUGAUGCCUUGUCAUAAUGUGGCACAAAAGGUAGGUUGGAAAAUGACUUGAAGAGAAGUGUGGAUCCUUGGGGAGAUCCUUGGAAAGGGAUUUGACACGACUGACACAGUGCCCCCUUUUACAUUUCUAAGCAAUUGCUAAUCAUCGCCCACUUUU